This is a non-coding RNA of Hypoxylon sp. CI-4A, 89 nucleotides long. The record is from the annotation of a GenBank genome assembly. NCBI's taxonomy places the organism in Eukaryota, Fungi, Ascomycota, Sordariomycetes, Xylariales, Hypoxylaceae.
GGUUUCCUAGUGUAAUGGUUAUCACAGCGGAUUCUGAUCUACUAAAGUAGGGCGUUCCGCUAAUCUGGGUUCGAUUCCCAGGGAGACCU